CCCACGGGAGGCAGCAGUAGGGAAUUUUCGUCAAUGGGCGCAAGCCUGAACGAGCAAUGCCGCGUGAACGAGGAAGGUCUUCGGAUCGGAAAGUUCUGUUGAAGGGGGAAAAGAGCGGAGCGAGGAAAUGCUUUCUGAUUGAUAUUACCCUUCGAGGAAGUCACGGCUAACUACGUGCCAGCAGCCGCGGUAAUACGUAGGUGGCGAGCGUUAUCCGGAAUGAUUGGGCGUAAAGGGUGCGUAGGCGGCCUGCUAAGUCUGGAGUGAAAGGUCGCGGCUCAACCGGUACAGGCCGUGGAAACUGGCGGGCUAGAGAGCAGGAGAGGGCGGCGGAACUCCAUGUGUAGCGGUAAAAUGCGUAGAUAUAUGGAAGAACACCAGUGGCGAAGGCGGUCGGCUGGGCUGUGACUGACGCUGAGGCACGAAAGCGUGGGGGGCAAAUAGGAUUAGAUACCCUUGUAGUC
RNAcentral lists this ribosomal RNA (464 nucleotides) under uncultured bacterium. Its description in RNAcentral is "partial 16S ribosomal RNA". It matches the Rfam family "Bacterial small subunit ribosomal RNA", at positions 338 to 795 of the family's 1533-position model. The record is from RNAcentral.